RNAcentral lists this transfer RNA (71 nucleotides) under Candidatus Diapherotrites archaeon CG10_big_fil_rev_8_21_14_0_10_31_34. RNAcentral describes it as "tRNA-His". It matches the Rfam family "tRNA". Rfam says of the family: Transfer RNA (tRNA) molecules are approximately 80 nucleotides in length. Their secondary structure includes four short double-helical elements and three loops (D, anti-codon, and T loops). The record is from RNAcentral. Lineage: Archaea; Nanobdellati; Candidatus Iainarchaeota.
GCUGACGUAGUGUAGCGGUAGCAUAAGAGCCUGUGGAGCUCUUGGGUCGGGUCCGAAUCCCGGCGUCGGCC